RNAcentral lists this ribosomal RNA (253 nucleotides) under uncultured bacterium. RNAcentral's name for it is "partial 16S ribosomal RNA". It matches the Rfam family "Bacterial small subunit ribosomal RNA", at positions 524 to 776 of the family's 1533-position model. The record is from RNAcentral.
UACAGAGGUCCCAAGCGUUGUUCGGAUUCAUUGGGCGUAAAGGGUGCGUAGGUGGCGCCGUAAGUCGGGUGUGAAAUUUCGGAGCUUAACUCCGAAACUGCAUUCGAUACUGCGGUGCUUGAGGACUGGAGAGGAGACUGGAAUUCAUGGUGUAGCAGUGAAAUGCGUAGAGAUCAUGAGGAAGACCAGUGGCGAAGGCGGGUCUCUGGACAGUUCCUGACACUGAGGAGCGAAAGCCAGGGGAGCAAACGGG